UACGGAGGGUGCAAGCGUUAUCCGGAUUUACUGGGUUUAAAGGGUGCGUAGGCGGAUAAUUAAGUCAGUGGUGAAAUCUUCAGGCUUAACCUGGAAACUGCCAUUGAUACUAUUUAUCUUGAAUACUUUGGAGGUAAGCGGAAUAUGUCAUGUAGCGGUGAAAUGCUUAGAUAUGACAUAGAACACCAAUUGCGAAGGCAGCUUACUACACAGUAAUUGACACUGAGGCACGAAAGCGUGGGGAUCAAACAGG
RNAcentral lists this ribosomal RNA (253 nucleotides) under uncultured bacterium. RNAcentral's name for it is "partial 16S ribosomal RNA". It matches the Rfam family "Bacterial small subunit ribosomal RNA", at positions 524 to 776 of the family's 1533-position model. The record is from RNAcentral.